GAUAAACGCUAGCGGCAGGCCUAACACAUGCAAGUCGAGGGGCAUCGGGAUGUAGCAAUACAUUGCCGGCGACCGGCGCACGGGUGCGUAACACGUAUGCAACCUACCUUUAACUCUGGGAUAGCCCGAAGAAAUUCGGAUUAAUACCGGAUAAUAUCAAGAUAUGACAUCACAGCUUGAUUAAAGGCGCGAGUUGGUUAAAGAUGGGCAUGCGUCCCAUUAGUUAGUUGGGGAGGUAACGGCUCACCAAGGCGAUGAUGGGUAGGGGCUCUGAGAGGAUUACCCCCCACAUUGGUACUGAGACAGGGACCAAACUCCUACGGGAGGCAGCAGUGAGGAAUAUUGGGCAAUGGACGGAAGUCUGACCCAGCCAUGCCGCGUGCAGGAAGACGGCCUUAUGGGUUGUAAACUGCUUUUAUGUAGGGAAAAAGUUCAUAUUGCGAUAUGAUUUGAUGGUACUACAGGAAUAAGAAUCGGCUAACUCCGUGCCAGCAGCCGCGGUAAUACGGAGGAUUCGAGCGUUAUCCGGAUUUAUUGGGUUUAAAGGGUGCGCAGGCGGACUAUUAAGUCAGUGGUGAAAUUUUCCGGCUCAACCGGGACAGUGCCAUUGAUACUGAUAGACUAGAGUAUAAUUGACGUAUGUGGAAUGUAGCAUGUAGCGGUGAAAUGCAUAGAGAUGCUACAGAACACCGAUAGCGAAGGCAGCAUACGAAGCUAUAACUGACGCUCAUGCACGAAAGCGUGGGGAUCAAACAGGAUUAGAUACCCUGGUAGUCCACGCUGUAAACGAUGAUAACUGGCUUUUAGCGAUAGACAGUUAGAGGCUGAGAGAAAUCAAUAAGUUAUCCACCUGGGGAGUACGACGGCAACGUUGAAACUCAAAGGAAUUGACGGGGGCCCGCACAAGCGGAGGAGCAUGUGGUUUAAUUCGAUGAUACGCGAGGAACCUUACCCGGGCUUGAACGUAAGAUGGAUAUAUCUGAAAGGGUAUAGUCGCAAGACAUCUUAUGAGGUGCUGCAUGGUUGUCGUCAGCUCGUGCCGUGAGGUGUCGGGUUAAGUCCCAUAACGAGCGCAACCCUCAUAUUCAGUUACCAGCACGUGAUGGUGGGGACUCUGGAUAGACUGCCUACGCAAGUAGAGAGGAAGGUGGGGAUGACGUCAAAUCAGCACGGCCCUUACGUCCGGGGCUACACACGUGCUACAAUGGUCGAAACAGAGGGCAGCGAGAGGGUGACCUUAAGCGAAUCUCAGAAAGUCGAUCUCAGUCCGGAUCGGAGUCUGCAACCCGACUCCGUGAAGUUGGAUUCGCUAGUAAUCGCGCAUCAGCCAUGGCGCGGUGAAUACGUUCCCGGGCCUUGUACACACCGCCCGUCAAGCCAUGGAAGCUGGGGGUACCUGAAGAUCGUGACCGUAGAAGGAGCGAUCUAGGGCAAAACCGGUGACUGGGGCUAAGUCGUAACA
This 1462-nucleotide ribosomal RNA is filed under the name uncultured bacterium. RNAcentral describes it as "bacterial SSU rRNA". It matches the Rfam family "Bacterial small subunit ribosomal RNA". The record is from RNAcentral.